This 71-nucleotide transfer RNA is filed under the name Rhacophorus modestus. RNAcentral's name for it is "tRNA-Thr". It matches the Rfam family "tRNA". From Rfam's summary of the family: Transfer RNA (tRNA) molecules are approximately 80 nucleotides in length. Their secondary structure includes four short double-helical elements and three loops (D, anti-codon, and T loops). Further hydrogen bonds mediate the characteristic L-shaped molecular structure. tRNAs have two regions of fundamental functional importance: the anti-codon, which is responsible for specific mRNA codon recognition, and the 3' end, to which the tRNAs corresponding amino acid is attached (by aminoacyl-tRNA synthetases). tRNAs cope with the degeneracy of the genetic code in two manners: having more than one tRNA (with a specific anti-codon) for a particular amino acid; and 'wobble' base-pairing, i.e. permitting non-standard base-pairing at the 3rd anti-codon position. Lineage: Eukaryota; Metazoa; Chordata; Amphibia; Anura; Rhacophoridae. The record is from RNAcentral.
GUCCUGAUAGCUUAACAUUAAAGCAUUGGUCUUGUAAACCAAAGAUUGUGGGUUAGAACCUACUCAAGACU